Molecule: ribosomal RNA, 2903 nt
Filed under: Escherichia coli 2-210-07_S3_C1
Lineage: Bacteria; Pseudomonadati; Pseudomonadota; Gammaproteobacteria; Enterobacterales; Enterobacteriaceae
Description: bacterial LSU rRNA
Rfam family: Bacterial large subunit ribosomal RNA
Source: RNAcentral
UUAAGCGACUAAGCGUACACGGUGGAUGCCCUGGCAGUCAGAGGCGAUGAAGGACGUGCUAAUCUGCGAUAAGCGUCGGUAAGGUGAUAUGAACCGUUAUAACCGGCGAUUUCCGAAUGGGGAAACCCAGUGUGUUUCGACACACUAUCAUUAACUGAAUCCAUAGGUUAAUGAGGCGAACCGGGGGAACUGAAACAUCUAAGUACCCCGAGGAAAAGAAAUCAACCGAGAUUCCCCCAGUAGCGGCGAGCGAACGGGGAGCAGCCCAGAGCCUGAAUCAGUAUGUGUGUUAGUGGAAGCGUCUGGAAAGGCGCGCGAUACAGGGUGACAGCCCCGUACACAAAAAUGCACAUGCUGUGAGCUCGAUGAGUAGGGCGGGACACGUGGUAUCCUGUCUGAAUAUGGGGGGACCAUCCUCCAAGGCUAAAUACUCCUGACUGACCGAUAGUGAACCAGUACCGUGAGGGAAAGGCGAAAAGAACCCCGGCGAGGGGAGUGAAAAAGAACCUGAAACCGUGUACGUACAAGCAGUGGGAGCACGCUUAGGCGUGUGACUGCGUACCUUUUGUAUAAUGGGUCAGCGACUUAUAUUCUGUAGCAAGGUUAACCGAAUAGGGGAGCCGAAGGGAAACCGAGUCUUAACUGGGCGUUAAGUUGCAGGGUAUAGACCCGAAACCCGGUGAUCUAGCCAUGGGCAGGUUGAAGGUUGGGUAACACUAACUGGAGGACCGAACCGACUAAUGUUGAAAAAUUAGCGGAUGACUUGUGGCUGGGGGUGAAAGGCCAAUCAAACCGGGAGAUAGCUGGUUCUCCCCGAAAGCUAUUUAGGUAGCGCCUCGUGAAUUCAUCUCCGGGGGUAGAGCACUGUUUCGGCAAGGGGGUCAUCCCGACUUACCAACCCGAUGCAAACUGCGAAUACCGGAGAAUGUUAUCACGGGAGACACACGGCGGGUGCUAACGUCCGUCGUGAAGAGGGAAACAACCCAGACCGCCAGCUAAGGUCCCAAAGUCAUGGUUAAGUGGGAAACGAUGUGGGAAGGCCCAGACAGCCAGGAUGUUGGCUUAGAAGCAGCCAUCAUUUAAAGAAAGCGUAAUAGCUCACUGGUCGAGUCGGCCUGCGCGGAAGAUGUAACGGGGCUAAACCAUGCACCGAAGCUGCGGCAGCGACACUAUGUGUUGUUGGGUAGGGGAGCGUUCUGUAAGCCUGUGAAGGUGUGCUGUGAGGCAUGCUGGAGGUAUCAGAAGUGCGAAUGCUGACAUAAGUAACGAUAAAGCGGGUGAAAAGCCCGCUCGCCGGAAGACCAAGGGUUCCUGUCCAACGUUAAUCGGGGCAGGGUGAGUCGACCCCUAAGGCGAGGCCGAAAGGCGUAGUCGAUGGGAAACAGGUUAAUAUUCCUGUACUUGGUGUUACUGCGAAGGGGGGACGGAGAAGGCUAUGUUGGCCGGGCGACGGUUGUCCCGGUUUAAGCGUGUAGGCUGGUUUUCCAGGCAAAUCCGGAAAAUCAAGGCUGAGGCGUGAUGACGAGGCACUACGGUGCUGAAGCAACAAAUGCCCUGCUUCCAGGAAAAGCCUCUAAGCAUCAGGUAACAUCAAAUCGUACCCCAAACCGACACAGGUGGUCAGGUAGAGAAUACCAAGGCGCUUGAGAGAACUCGGGUGAAGGAACUAGGCAAAAUGGUGCCGUAACUUCGGGAGAAGGCACGCUGAUAUGUAGGUGAAGUCCCUCGCGGAUGGAGCUGAAAUCAGUCGAAGAUACCAGCUGGCUGCAACUGUUUAUUAAAAACACAGCACUGUGCAAACACGAAAGUGGACGUAUACGGUGUGACGCCUGCCCGGUGCCGGAAGGUUAAUUGAUGGGGUUAGCCGCAAGGCGAAGCUCUUGAUCGAAGCCCCGGUAAACGGCGGCCGUAACUAUAACGGUCCUAAGGUAGCGAAAUUCCUUGUCGGGUAAGUUCCGACCUGCACGAAUGGCGUAAUGAUGGCCAGGCUGUCUCCACCCGAGACUCAGUGAAAUUGAACUCGCUGUGAAGAUGCAGUGUACCCGCGGCAAGACGGAAAGACCCCGUGAACCUUUACUAUAGCUUGACACUGAACAUUGAGCCUUGAUGUGUAGGAUAGGUGGGAGGCUUAGAAGUGUGGACGCCAGUCUGCAUGGAGCCGACCUUGAAAUACCACCCUUUAAUGUUUGAUGUUCUAACGUUGACCCGUAAUCCGGGUUGCGGACAGUGUCUGGUGGGUAGUUUGACUGGGGCGGUCUCCUCCUAAAGAGUAACGGAGGAGCACGAAGGUUGGCUAAUCCUGGUCGGACAUCAGGAGGUUAGUGCAAUGGCAUAAGCCAGCUUGACUGCGAGCGUGACGGCGCGAGCAGGUGCGAAAGCAGGUCAUAGUGAUCCGGUGGUUCUGAAUGGAAGGGCCAUCGCUCAACGGAUAAAAGGUACUCCGGGGAUAACAGGCUGAUACCGCCCAAGAGUUCAUAUCGACGGCGGUGUUUGGCACCUCGAUGUCGGCUCAUCACAUCCUGGGGCUGAAGUAGGUCCCAAGGGUAUGGCUGUUCGCCAUUUAAAGUGGUACGCGAGCUGGGUUUAGAACGUCGUGAGACAGUUCGGUCCCUAUCUGCCGUGGGCGCUGGAGAACUGAGGGGGGCUGCUCCUAGUACGAGAGGACCGGAGUGGACGCAUCACUGGUGUUCGGGUUGUCAUGCCAAUGGCACUGCCCGGUAGCUAAAUGCGGAAGAGAUAAGUGCUGAAAGCAUCUAAGCACGAAACUUGCCCCGAGAUGAGUUCUCCCUGACUCCUUGAGAGUCCUGAAGGAACGUUGAAGACGACGACGUUGAUAGGCCGGGUGUGUAAGCGCAGCGAUGCGUUGAGCUAACCGGUACUAAUGAACCGUGAGGCUUAACCUU